CCUACGGGACGCAGCAGUGAGGAACAUUGGUCAAUGGGCGGAAGCCUGAACCAGCCAAGUCGCGUGAGGGAAUAAGGCCCUACGGGUCGUAAACCUCUUUUGCCGGGGAGCAAGGGCGGGGACGUGUCCCGGCCCGGAGAGUACCCGGAGAAAAAGCAUCGGCUAACUCCGUGCCAGCAGCCGCGGUAAUACGGGGGAUGCGAGCGUUAUCCGGAUUUAUUGGGUUUAAAGGGUGCGUAGGCGGCGCUUCAGGUCAGCGGUGAAAUACCGGGGCUCAACCCCGGGGCUGCCGUUGAAACCGGAGC
RNAcentral lists this ribosomal RNA (305 nucleotides) under uncultured bacterium. Its description in RNAcentral is "bacterial SSU rRNA". It matches the Rfam family "Bacterial small subunit ribosomal RNA", at positions 338 to 639 of the family's 1533-position model. The record is from RNAcentral.